This 835-nucleotide ribosomal RNA is filed under the name uncultured bacterium. RNAcentral describes it as "bacterial SSU rRNA". It matches the Rfam family "Bacterial small subunit ribosomal RNA", at positions 34 to 889 of the family's 1533-position model. The record is from RNAcentral.
CGCUGGCGGCGUGCUUAACACAUGCAAGUCGAACGAUGAAGAGCAGCUUGCUGCUUGGAUUAGUGGCGCACGGGUGAGUAAUAUAUAGGUAAUGUGCCUCUUAGUCUGGGAUAGCCAUUGGAAACGAUGAUUAAUACUGGAUACUCCUUCUAACUCUAAUGUUAGUCGGGAAAGUUUUUCGCUAAGAGAUCAGCCUAUAUCCCAUCAGUUAGUUGGUAAGGUAACGGCUUACCAAGGCAAUGACGGGUAGCGGGUUUGAGAGGAUGAUCCGCCACACUGGUACUGAGACACGGACCAGACUCCUACGGGAGGCAGCAGUGAGGAAUAUUGCACAAUGGGGGAAACCCUGAUGCAGCAACGCCGCGUGGAGGAUGACGCAUUUCGGUGUGUAAACUCCUUUUAUAUGUCAAGAAAAUGACGGUAGCAUAUGAAUAAGCACCGGCUAACUCCGUGCCAGCAGCCGCGGUAAUACGGAGGGUGCAAGCGUUACUCGGAAUCACUGGGCGUAAAGGACGCGUAGGCGGAUUGGAAAGUCAGAUGUGAAAUCCUACAGCUUAACUGUAGAACUGCAUUUGAAACUUCUAAUCUAGAGUAUGGGAGGGGGAGAUGGAAUUAGUGGUGUAGGGGUAAAAUCCGUAGAUAUCACUAGGAAUACCGAAAGCGAAGGCGAUCUCCUGGAACAUUACUGACGCUAAGGCGUGAAAGCGUGGGGAGCAAACAGGAUUAGAUACCCUGGUAGUCCACGCCCUAAACGAUGAACACUAGUCGUCGGGAUGCUUGUCAUCUCGGUGAUGCACUUAACAGAUUAAGUGUUCCGCCUGGGGAGUACGGUCGC